UACAGGGGGGGCAAGCGUUGUCCGGAAUCAUUGGGCGUAAAGAGCGUGUAGGCGGCCUUUUAAGUCCUGCGUGAAAUCCUGCGGCUCAACCGCAGACGGUCGUGGGAAACUGGAAGGCUAGAGUGCGGGAGAGGAGAGUGGAAUUCCCGGUGUAGCGGUGAAAUGCGCAGAUAUCGGGAAGAACACCCGUGGCGAAGGCGGCUCUCUGGAACGCAACUGACGCUGAGACGCGAAAGCGUGGGGAGCAAACAGG
This 253-nucleotide ribosomal RNA is filed under the name uncultured bacterium. RNAcentral's name for it is "partial 16S ribosomal RNA". It matches the Rfam family "Bacterial small subunit ribosomal RNA", at positions 524 to 776 of the family's 1533-position model. The record is from RNAcentral.